This 94-nucleotide microRNA precursor is filed under the name Strongylocentrotus purpuratus (purple sea urchin). Its description in RNAcentral is "microRNA spu-mir-2006 precursor". It matches the Rfam family "mir-2006 microRNA precursor family". The record is from miRBase by way of RNAcentral. Lineage: Eukaryota; Metazoa; Echinodermata; Echinoidea; Camarodonta; Strongylocentrotidae.
GCCGUAGCAUGUGCCAUCGCCACCAAGUGUACUUCAGUGGACAUAUGUCGUUUUUAAAUCUGAGCACACUUGGUAGCGGUGCCGUGAGCUACUC